AUGAGGGAAGGUCAGGAGUCAAUUUUCCACCGUGACAAUGCUUUCGACUACUGGGGGAAAGGAACCUCGGUGACUGUGAGUUCAGGUGUUCAGACCCCUCCCAUCUCUCUCUUCACUGUGUCUGCGUGCGCCCCCUCCUCUGAUGGCUUCCUUACUCUCGGCUGCGUCACAAGCGGUUUCUCUCCCGCCGACUCGCUCAAGUUCUCCUGGGCCGGCGACGUCAGUGACGUGCUGCAGUACCCGGCUGUACAGCAGGGUGGCACCUAUACAGCGGUGAGUCAAGCGCGCGUCAAGGCCGCUGACUGGGACGCGGAGAAGCCGUUCUCCUGCCAGGCGAACCAUCAAGCAAGUACAAGACCCAUACCCAACAGGUGGAAUAUAAGAGGUAUAAGCACAUUCAGGGCUCAGAGACCAGCACCGUGUGAACAAAACAUCCCUAACACCACCACCACCACCAUCAAGCCAAACUUUCAGAAUAAAUAUCCAAUGAGGAAUACUGCAAAUCCAAGCAUUAACCCCGAACACAUCCUAUUACACGUUAUUCAUGAAAUGCCCAGUGACAAGAGGGGUACUGCCCCAGUGACAGAUUGUACCUGCUGCAUACAUCUCUAUGUUUGUUUGUGUUUUCCAGAUGUGACAGUGCAGCCUACUGCUCUGCUUCUAACAGUGCCCACCCAAGCGGACUUGGACAAUGGAGUGGCUACCUUCAUCUGUGUAGCCAGUCAGUUCUCACCUAAAGAACAUAAACUUACCUGGACUCUUGAUCAAAAGGAGAUCACAGAUCGGGCCAAGCCAACGAUUUUAACUGAGGAGAAAAGCACUAUUACCAUGUACACUGCCAUUAGCAUUUUGGAAAUCUUGGCCAGCGAAUGGGUGGACACGCUUUCCACAAUCAAGUGUGAAUUCAAGCAUCAGGGAUCGAUACUCGAUGAUGAAACCGAAAAGGUAGAAAUUGUUCCCCCUUCCACUGAGGAUAUGCUGGUCUGGGGUGCUGGUGAGCUUCAGUGCCGUGCUACGGGACCUAAUGGUUUCAAGAGCAUCCAGUGGAUGCGUGCUGGUCAGAUCAUCACAUCUGAAGUCCAGGGAGAAGUUGGCGGUUCCUCACUCACAGCUAUUGCUAGAAUCAAUUCCGAUGACUGGAGCAGAGCCACAGAAUACAACUGUGUGGUGGAGCAUAAAUUAUUCGCCGAACUCAACAAGACAUACACAUAUAGGAAAAAAGGCGGAGGAGAAAAGACGUGUCCCUCUGUUUACUUACUCGCUCCACCAGAGCACGGCCAGGAGGGAGGGGUGACCCUGACUUGCUAUGUGAAAAACUUCUACCCCAACGAUCUGGUUGUGUAUUGGCUUGCUAAUGAUAAAAUACUGAACAGUACAGAGGACGACUCUAUCCCCUACCAGCACAGAACCUCUUGCCCGAUUGAGAUUGAAAAAGAUCGCCUCUAUUCAAUUUACAGCCAGCUGGUUAUCAGCUCUGCAGAAUGGAAGACAGGAACGGUGUUCAGCUGCUUAGUGUACCAUGAGGCCAUUAACCCAACCAUCUGCACGAUAUCCAGAUCACUCGACAAUGUUUCAGGCAAGCCCACCUUAGUGAGCCUCAGCAUGAGUGUUCCCUCGACCCCCGCCUUCACAGAUUGCAUGGUGUUGACGGAGAUGUUCUGCAAAGAGCCAAAGGAGACAGAUUGGUCAGUGGAGACAGAAGACAGUAACAUGGAGAACACUGCCUUAACGUUUGUCUUUCUCUUCCUCAUCACCCUGAUCUACUGCAUUGGCGCCACUAUUGUGAAAGUGAAAUGAGUAUCGGUCACAAGGAUGGAAACAUCUCCCUCAUCAUACUCCUCUAAAACUUACUGUCUGACGCUAUGUCUUAAG
Colossoma macropomum (tambaqui) is the source of this 1872-nucleotide non-coding RNA. NCBI's taxonomy places the organism in Eukaryota, Metazoa, Chordata, Actinopteri, Characiformes, Serrasalmidae. The record is from the annotation of a RefSeq genome assembly.